UACGGGGGGGGCAAGCGUUGUUCGGAAUUACUGGGCGUAAAGGGCUCGUAGGUGGCCCAAUAAGUCAGACGUGAAAUCCCUCGGCUCAACCGAGGAACUGCGUCUGAGACUGCGGGGCUUGAAUCCGGGAGAGGGAUGCGGAAUUCCAGGUGUAGCGGUGAAAUGCGUAGAUAUCUGGAGGAACACCGGUGGCGAAGGCGGCAUCCUGGCCCAAUACUGACACUCAGGUGCGACAGCGUGGGGAGCAAACAGG
RNAcentral lists this ribosomal RNA (253 nucleotides) under uncultured bacterium. Its description in RNAcentral is "partial 16S ribosomal RNA". It matches the Rfam family "Bacterial small subunit ribosomal RNA", at positions 524 to 776 of the family's 1533-position model. The record is from RNAcentral.